CUUAAAAUAUAUUUCUCGCACAAUUCUGGACAUCGGUGGACAUGCAACAUUGCAAAACCACAUUUACAAAUGAAAAUCAACGCUCAGACUAUAGUCAUAAAGUAGGACAAUAAAUGAACAAAAGACAAGCCCGGAACACAGAAGUUCAAACAAUAGACCAUCAACUCUGAAAACUAAACGGAAAAUAGAAACAUGGAUAACGAAAAAAAAAAAAUUCAGGGGAUACACCAAAGAGUGAAAAGAACUUGCUUCUUGCAAGACUUUCCGUGAAAACAAUUUGAUAUGAAAACAACCUUUUCUUUCAUUUUUUUUUUAAAUUUUUUACACGAGGCAUUUGCCUCAUUUGCCUCAAUGUAGUUACGGCCCUG
This 368-nucleotide long non-coding RNA is filed under the name Mytilus galloprovincialis (Mediterranean mussel). The record is from RNAcentral. Lineage: Eukaryota; Metazoa; Mollusca; Bivalvia; Mytilida; Mytilidae.